RNAcentral lists this ribosomal RNA (467 nucleotides) under uncultured bacterium. Its description in RNAcentral is "partial 16S ribosomal RNA". It matches the Rfam family "Bacterial small subunit ribosomal RNA", at positions 28 to 507 of the family's 1533-position model. The record is from RNAcentral.
GACGAACGCUGGCGACGUGCUUAACACAUGCAAGUCGAACGAUGAAGCCCAGCUUGCUGGGUGGAAGAGUGGCGAACGGGUGAGUAACACGUGAGUAACCUGCCCUGAACUCUGGGAUAAGCACUGGAAACGGUGUCUAAUACUGGAUACGACCUAUCACCGCAUGGUGUGUGGGUGGAAAGAUUUAUCGGUUCUGGAUGGACUCGCGGCCUAUCAGCUAGAUGGUGAGGUAAUGGCUCACCAUGGCGACGACGGGUAGCCGGCCUGAGAGGGUGACCGGCCACACUGGGACUGAGACACGGCCCAGACUCCUACGGGAGGCAGCAGUGGGGAAUAUUGCACAAUGGGCGCAAGCCUGAUGCAGCAACGCCGCGUGAGGGAUGACGGCCUUCGGGUUGUAAACCUCUUUUAGUAGGGAAGAAGCGAAAGUGACGGUACCUGCAGAAAAAGCACCGGCUAACUACGUG